Mycena metata is the source of this 92-nucleotide non-coding RNA. The record is from the annotation of a GenBank genome assembly. Lineage: Eukaryota; Fungi; Basidiomycota; Agaricomycetes; Agaricales; Mycenaceae.
GCCUGCAUAGAUCAGUGGCUAGAUCGCCUUCCAAAUUUAGCUGGUGAUAAAGCUCUAUGUAGGAGACGGAGGUUCGAAUCCUCCUGCGGGCA